RNAcentral lists this transfer RNA (78 nucleotides) under Clostridioides difficile. Its description in RNAcentral is "tRNA-Lys(ttt)". It matches the Rfam family "tRNA". Rfam says of the family: Transfer RNA (tRNA) molecules are approximately 80 nucleotides in length. Their secondary structure includes four short double-helical elements and three loops (D, anti-codon, and T loops). RNAcentral also lists the same sequence under 1 other name. Lineage: Bacteria; Bacillati; Bacillota; Clostridia; Peptostreptococcales; Peptostreptococcaceae. The record is from RNAcentral.
UGCCCCUAUAGCUCAGUUGGUAGAGCUACGGACUUUUAAUCCGCAGGUCCCAGGUUCGAGCCCUGGUGGGGGCACCCA